Molecule: ribosomal RNA, 455 nt
Filed under: uncultured bacterium
Lineage: Bacteria
Description: bacterial SSU rRNA
Rfam family: Bacterial small subunit ribosomal RNA
Source: RNAcentral
AACGAACGCUGGCGGCAGGCUUAACACAUGCAAGUCGAACGCUCGUAGCAAUACGGGAGUGGCGGACGGGUGAGUAACGCGUGGGAACGUGCCCUGAGGUACGGAAUAACUGAGGGAAACUUCAGCUAAUACCGUAUGAGCCCCGAGAGGGGGAAAGAUUUAUCGCCUUGGGAGCGGCCCGCGUCGGAUUAGCUAGUUGGUGGGGUAACGGCCUACCAAGGCUUCGAUCCGUAGCUGGUCUGAGAGGACGAUCAGCCACACUGGGACUGAGACACGGCCCAGACUCCUACGGGAGGCAGCAGUGGGGAAUCUUGCGCAAUGGGGGGCAACCCUGACGCAGCCAUGCCGCGUGAACGAUGAAGGCCCUAGGGUUGUAAAGUUCUUUUACCCGUGACGAUGAUGACGGUAACGGGGGAAUAAGCUCCGGCUAACUUCGUGCCAGCAGCCGCGGUAAU